This 1281-nucleotide ribosomal RNA is filed under the name uncultured bacterium. Its description in RNAcentral is "bacterial SSU rRNA". It matches the Rfam family "Bacterial small subunit ribosomal RNA", at positions 232 to 1501 of the family's 1533-position model. The record is from RNAcentral.
CGCGUCCCAUUAGCUAGUUGGUGAGAUAACAGCCCACCAAGGCGACGAUGGGUAACCGGUCUGAGAGGGCGAACGGUCACACUGGAACUGAGACACGGUCCAGACUCCUACGGGAGGCAGCAGUGGGGAAUAUUGCGCAAUGGGGGAAACCCUGACGCAGCAACGCCGCGUGGAGGAAGAAGGUCUUCGGAUUGUAAACUCCUGUCUUCUGGGACGAUAAUAAACUCCUGUCUUCUGGGACAAUAAUGACGGUACCGAAGGAGGAAGCCCCGGCUAACUACGUGCCAGCAGCCGCGGUAAUACGUAGGGGGCAAGCGUUGUCCGGAAUUAUUGGGCGUAAAGAGCGCGCAGGCGGUUUUGUAAGUCCACCGUNNNNNNNNNNNGGCUCAACCGUAACGGGUCGGUGGAUACUGCAAGACUUGAGGGCAGGAGAGGAAAGUGGAAUUCCCAGUGUAGCGGUGAAAUGCGUAGAUAUUGGGAGGAACACCAGUGGCGAAGGCGACUUUCUGGACUGUUACUGACGCUGAGGCGCGAAAGCUGGGGAAGUGAACGGGAUUAGAUACCCCGGUAAUCCCAGCCGUAAACGAUGGGUACUAGGUGUAGGGGGUAUCGACCCCCCCUGUGCCGGAGUUAACGCAAUAAGUACCCCGCCUGGGGAGUACGGUCGCAAGACUGAAACUCAAAGGAAUUGACGGGGGCCCGCACAAGCGGUGGAGCAUGUGGUUUAAUUCGACGCAACGCGAAGAACCUUACCAGGGCUUGACAUCCGCGGAACCUCUGUGAAAGCAGGGGGUGCCUUCGGGAGCGUAUAGACAGGUGGUGCAUGGCUGUCGUCAGCUCGUGUCGUGAGAUGUUGGGUUAAGUCCCGCAACGAGCGCAACCCCUAUCCUUUGUUGCCAGCAUUAAGUUGGGCACUCAAGGGAGACUGCCGGUGUCAAACCGGAGGAAAGGUGGGGAUGACGUCAAAUCAUCAUGCCCCUUAUGUCCUGGGCUACACACGUGCUACAAUGGCCAGUACAGACGGAGGCGAAGCCGCGAGGUGGAGCAAACCCGAGAAAGCUGGUCUCAGUUCGGAUUGCAGGCUGCAACUCGCCUGCAUGAAGUCGGAAUCGCUAGUAAUCGCAGGUCAGCAUACUGCGGUGAAUACGUUCCCGGGCCUUGUACACACCGCCCGUCACACCACGAAAGUCUGCAACACCCGAAGCCGGUGAGGUAACCCGAAAGGGAGCUAGCCGUCGAAGGUGGGGCCGAUAAUUGGGGUGAAGUCGUAACAAGGUAACC